CGAACGCUGGCGGCGUGCCUAAUACAUGCAAGUCGAACGGCUUUCCAUGGAAGCUUGCUUCCACUGAGAAGAUAGUGGCGGACGGGUGAGUAACACGUGGGUAACCUGCCCAUAAGAGGGGGAUAACAUCCGGAAACGGGUGCUAAUACCGCAUAGUUUUCUUGAUCGCAUGAUUGAGAAAGGAAAGACGGCCUUUGUGCUGUCGCUUAUGGAUGGACCCGCGGCGUAUUAGUUAGUUGGUGAGGUAACGGCUCACCAAGACGAUGAUACGUAGCCGACCUGAGAGGGUGAUCGGCCACAUUGGGACUGAGACACGGCCCAAACUCCUACGGGAGGCAGCAGUAGGGAAUCUUCCGCAAUGGACGAAAGUCUGACGGAGCAACGCCGCGUGAGUGAAGAAGGUUUUCGGGAAUCGUAAAACUCUGUUGUCAGAGAAGAACAAGUUGGAGAGUAACUGCUCCAGCCUUGACGGUAUCUGACCAGAAAGCCACGGCUAACUACGUGCCAGCAGCUGC
RNAcentral lists this ribosomal RNA (515 nucleotides) under uncultured bacterium. RNAcentral's name for it is "bacterial SSU rRNA". It matches the Rfam family "Bacterial small subunit ribosomal RNA", at positions 30 to 518 of the family's 1533-position model. The record is from RNAcentral.